Molecule: ribosomal RNA, 237 nt
Filed under: Klebsiella pneumoniae
Lineage: Bacteria; Pseudomonadati; Pseudomonadota; Gammaproteobacteria; Enterobacterales; Enterobacteriaceae
Description: partial 16S ribosomal RNA
Rfam family: Bacterial small subunit ribosomal RNA
Source: RNAcentral
UGCCAGUGAUAAACUGGAGGAAGGUGGGGAUGACGUCAAGUCAUCAUGGCCCUUACGACCAGGGCUACACACGUGCUACAAUGGCAUAUACAAAGAGAAGCGACCUCGCGAGAGCAAGCGGACCUCAUAAAGUAUGUCGUAGUCCGGAUUGGAGUCUGCAACUCGACUCCAUGAAGUCGGAAUCGCUAGUAAUCGUAGAUCAGAAUGCUACGGUGAAUACGUUCCCGGGCCUUGUAC